GCACUGCUGACGAGUUCCAUACUAGGACGAAACAGUUGUUCAGUGC
RNAcentral lists this non-coding RNA (46 nucleotides) under Schistosoma margrebowiei. The record is from RNAcentral. Lineage: Eukaryota; Metazoa; Platyhelminthes; Trematoda; Strigeidida; Schistosomatidae.